RNAcentral lists this ribosomal RNA (1230 nucleotides) under uncultured Bacillus sp. Its description in RNAcentral is "bacterial SSU rRNA". It matches the Rfam family "Bacterial small subunit ribosomal RNA", at positions 181 to 1396 of the family's 1533-position model. Lineage: Bacteria; Bacillati; Bacillota; Bacilli; Caryophanales; Bacillaceae. The record is from RNAcentral.
UUGAACCGCAUGGUUCAAUCAUAAAAGGGGGCUUUUAGCUACCACUUACAGAUGGACCCGCGGCGCAUUAGCUAGUUGGUGAGGUAACGGCUCACCAAGGCGACGAUGCGUAGCCGACCUGAGAGGGUGAUCGGCCACACUGGGACUGAAACACGGCCCAGACUCCUACGGGAGGCAGCAGUAGGGAAUCUUCCGCAAUGGACGAAAGUCUGACGGAACAACGCCGCGUGAGUGAUGAAGGUUUUCGGAUCGUAAAACUCUGUUGUUAGGGAAGAACAAGUACCGUUCGAAUAGGGCGGUACCUUGACGGUACCUAACCAGAAAGCCACGGCUAACUACGUGCCAGCAGCCGCGGUAAUACGUAGGUGGCAAGCGUUGUCCGGAAUUAUUGGGCGUAAAGCGCGCGCAGGCGGUUUCUUAAGUCUGAUGUGAAAGCCCCCGGCUCAACCGGGGAGGGUCAUUGGAAACUGGGGAACUUGAGUGCAGAAGAGGAGAGUGGAAUUCCACGUGUAGCGGUGAAAUGCGUAGAGAUGUGGAGGAACACCAGUGGCGAAGGCGACUCUCUGGUCUGUAACUGACGCUGAGGCGCGAAAGCGUGGGGAGCGAACAGGAUUAGAUACCCUGGUAGUCCACGCCGUAAACGAUGAGUGCUAAGUGUUAGAGGGUUUCCGCCCUUUAGUGCUGCAGCAAACGCAUUAAGCACUCCGCCUGGGGAGUACGGUCGCAAGACUGAAACUCAAAGGAAUUGACGGGGGCCCGCACAAGCGGUGGAGCAUGUGGUUUAAUUCGAAGCAACGCGAAGAACCUUACCAGGUCUUGACAUCCUCUGACAACCCUAGAGAUAGGGCUUCCCCUUCGGGGGCAGAGUGACAGGUGGUGCAUGGUUGUCGUCAGCUCGUGUCGUGAGAUGUUGGGUUAAGUCCCGCAACGAGCGCAACCCUUGAUCUUAGUUGCCAGCAUUCAGUUGGGCACUCUAAGGUGACUGCCGGUGACAAACCGGAGGAAGGUGGGGAUGACGUCAAAUCAUCAUGCCCCUUAUGACCUGGGCUACACACGUGCUACAAUGGGCAGAACAAAGGGCAGCGAAGCCGCGAGGCUAAGCCAAUCCCACAAAUCUGUUCUCAGUUCGGAUCGCAGUCUGCAACUCGACUGCGUGAAGCUGGAAUCGCUAGUAAUCGCGGAUCAGCAUGCCGCGGUGAAUACGUUCCCGGGCCUUGUACACACCGCCCG